This 358-nucleotide unclassified non-coding RNA is filed under the name soil metagenome. RNAcentral's name for it is "partial contains 5.8S ribosomal RNA, internal transcribed spacer 2, and large subunit ribosomal RNA". The stretch from base 1 to 120 matches the Rfam family "5.8S ribosomal RNA", at positions 35 to 154 of the family's 154-position model. The record is from RNAcentral.
GAUGAAGAACGUAGCGAAAUGCGAUAAGUAAUGUGAAUUGCAGAAUUCAGUGAAUCAUCGAAUCUUUGAACGCACAUUGCGCCCGUCAGUAUUCUGGCGGGCAUGCCUGUUCGAGCGUCAUUACGCCCCUCAAGUCCCCUGUGGACUUGGUGUUGGGGAUCGGCGAGGCUGGUUUUCCAGCACAGCCGUCCCUUAAAUUAAUUGGCGGUCUCGCCGUGGCCCUCCUCUGCGCAGUAGUAAAACACUCGCAACAGGAGCCCGGCGCGGUCCACUGCCGUAAAACCCCCCAACUUUUUAUAGUUGACCUCGGAUCAGGUAGGACUACCCGCUGAACUUAAGCAUAUCAAUAAGCGGAGGA